GGGACAGCAGGGGUAUGGGAAGGUUAGGGGGGCAGAGGCUUAAUAUGGAAGGAGGAAACCCCUCAGUAGGCAGCUGGACAUAGCAAGGCCAAGGGAAGGGGCAUGCCAAUUGGCUGCCCUCCCCCAGUCACCUGCUGAAGUUUAGCUAUAAGAGGAAAAGGCAGAAAGAGAAGCCGGAUACCCUCUGCCAAACUAUUCCCAAGGCAAGAGGAGUCUAAGCCUUGGGACCAGGAGGGACAGUGGAAGGCUAGAAAGAAUAGCAGGGAUAAGCCCUGACCUCUGGCCAUCUUGUCUCACCAGAGACCCUGCAGGGCUGUUGUACAAUUCUAGGGGGCACCUUUCACAUGGUGUGGGGGAUGCUUCUGUGAUGACUAGGAGAUGAGAAGGCAUGGACACAGCUUGCCGAGUUUCUAUAGCGCUGGGCCAGGAGCCAAGACUUGCUUCUCUUCUGCCACCUCAGACGACACCUGCCAGGAAAGAGGAACGGGGUGCCCGUGUACCAGGGCAGGAUGAGGCGCCCAGGCCUGACAGAGAGACCUCUGUCUCCCCAGUGCCUCUCAAACAGCAAGGUGAGCUACCCAGGGGCUUUGGGGAGGGGCAGUGUCGAUGCUCCUCACCACCAAAGCCCCUCUGAUCGGCAUGUCCCACUCCACCCCACCUCAAUGUCAAAAGGCCAAGUCCUGGCUUCUUAAACCCCUGGGGUUUCACCUGUGGCCAGGAUGAGGGGAGUUCCAGGAUCAAGAACAGAAAGCCACCACCACCACCAUCCCCAUCCUCUAGUUAUCUGACCCUAAGCGGCUCACUUGCAGGCUGCUGGCUGGACCAGGUCAGGUAGUGUUCCACUCGUGCACCAUCAGCCGGGGCUACCAUUGAGCCCUCUCUUCCCAAAUAGGCACCUCUGGGAGGUUUGAGAUGGAAGGCUGGGACAAAAUCUUCCUUGCUGGUGGCAACAGGCUGCUAGGGACUCAAUAGCAGUUUCAGUGGGUGAGCCUGUCCCAUGCCAGUCCACCCUGCCAGGUACCUGCCUUCUCUUUAAUUCACGGGAGAUUUUCAAGGGCUUUCCCAGACAGCCUGAAUGGGGAAGGGGCUUCUAGGAGGAGAGAACACUAGAGAGGGCAUGCAAGGACAGGGGCACCUUACCAGAGGGCUGCAGGCUCUCCUGGAUGGCCUCGAUCUCCGACAGCUCCAUGCACACGCCUUGCCCGUGCAUCAGCGUGUGCAGGGGCUUCUCCACCCCCCGGGGCGGGUAGCAGCGCAGGCCCGAGCCGCAGCGAGGGGUAUACACCCCGCAGGGCAUCCCCUUGCCCAGGGCGCAAGUGGCGCAACAGCCGCAGCCCGGCUCCCGCACCAGCUCCUCGCAGCCCACGGGGGGGCGGCAGCGCGCCAGCUUCUCCUCGGAGCAGGACGGGCAGUGGAUGGCUUCGUCGCCCAGGCUCGGCCCGGGCCCGGCGGCCAGCAGCAGCGCGGCCACGAGGCAGAGGGGCAGCAUGACCGAGCUAGGACGGGGCGCGGGCGCGGGCGCGGACGCGGGCGCGGGCGCGGGCGCGGGGCGCGGGAGCGGAGAGGGAGAGGGAGAGCCCGCGCUCAGACUGGCGGCAGGGACACGCGGCGACAGCGCCCGGCGCUCCUGGAGGACUCGACCCGGAGGGCGCGGGGAGACGGGGCGGCCCCGCUGGCGGACAGGGACCGAGCCAGGGAAGUUAGCAAGCGGGCUGGAGGGGAGCGAGCCUGGCCGCCGAGGCGCUGCGCCGCAUCCUCGGCCCGGCCCUGGCGGCGGGCGGCGGGGGGGCAGGGGGCUGAGCGGCUGCCCGGGACCGGCUCCCCCGGACUUUAUACCGGCCCCUGGCCACACCCCCAGCGCCUUCCCAGAGGUGGGGGAGCGGGGGCGCCGGGGGGGAGAGGGAGAGGCGGCCGUUAGGGGGAGGGGGCGCUGUCCUGAGUCGCCGCCGCCGCCGCCGCCGCCGCCGCUAUAACAUCUGAAAGUCCUUUUCUGCCGCAGAAGGAAGCGGCGCAGUUUGGAAGCCGUGGCAGGCGCCGAAAGCGCCUCUGAACCGGAGCCUGGGAGGGGAGGGAAAGGAAGAGGAGACGCCAAGGGGCUGUUCUUUGGCCCCCUCCCCCGACCUUGGAGGAUUCCUUCCCUACCCCGCCGGGGCGGCUGCAGCCCCGCCCCCACCCCACCCCCAAGAACGCGACCUCCUAGCCGGGACUGCUAGUUCGGCGGAUUCAGUCUCCCUGGCCCGAGUCCUUUCCACCCUCCUUCGUGCUUCCAGUCCCAACCACUGGAGACCAAGUCGAGUGAAGUGGGGAAAGGGAAGCAAGCACCUAUCGAGGGACCCAGAAGGGCCUGAUGGCCCUAAGAAGUUAGGUUCUCUUCCCACUUGCCCUUCCAACUCCUUCCCCCAGCCACCCACCCGCGAAGCACGCGCCCUGGCUCCUCAGGGCUCAUCUGGGUCCUGGUCCAUUCUGCCUUCCUGAAAACUGAAUCAACUGAGCUGGAGAAGGAGGUGCCCAGCCUCUUCUUCCUACCUGGAUGUUUGCCUCUACUGCCCGACUCCCUCCCAGAGGAGGAUUGGCUAGGGAGAUUGUCACUCUCAGUGUGCAAACUGUGCAUCGCACAACUCCAGGGGGCACCAUUUCUCUUGUAGUCAUGGUAGGUUUGUGUAGCUGUUAUGACAGUUUUCCAGCAGAUGGCAGUCAAGCAUUUCGAGGUAGGGAUGCCUUUUUCUAAUUCAGCCAGCCGUUGCUAUUUGGGCUAGUAUGUCGGCUGGCUAGGCCCUCUGUGAGAUCCUAUUGGUUGGUACCUGUUUACCCCACUCUUGCCUCAGUCCUGCUGGGAUCCAGAGGGACCCUAGAGUAACAUUUGAGCAGGGAUCCAUCUCCUAGGAUCUCUCUCUGGUCCCCCAGGUACUCAUCAUCCUUCCCCACAAAGGUUUCUCUGUCCUGGAGCUGGUUUCAGGGUAAGAGUGCCUGUCAGGGCACAAUCCGUGACCCACUGUGGAUUUUUUUUUUUUUUUCUUUUGGCUUGACUUGGCUUGGCUUGGCUUGGCUUAGCCUAGAAAGCAGCAAGGCAGCCAAGCAAAAGUGCAGAUCAGAGACCGUUUUCCUCCUUCCAGCUUCCUCUCCCAGGGCAGCAGUCUUUCAGUCUCACAGUAAUUAGGCCCUUUCCUACUUUCUCCAAGUGUAGACUUGUCCAGGUGAGAGGAGGAAGAGCAGAGCAGCUAGCUGAACUUGUAGGGACAGAAUCAAAAAGUUGCAAACUGACGGCACCUACUGGCAAUCAUCGAGACUGCAGAAGGUCUGGAGAGUUCUGACCAGUGACAAGAUUCUGGGAUUCUCUCCCUGCUGUCUCAGAGACGUACUGGGGUCUCUCCAUCUUGGAGUAGGGCAAACAGAGCCAGAACCAGAUUCCUCAUAUCCCUGUGGAAAGCCCAGCCUGUUCCUGAUUCAGAAAACUUCCCCCAGCCCUAUCCCCCUCUAUCAUCACUGAACCCAGUUCUGCCAUCAGCUUAUUGUAUGAACUUGGACGCCGCUCCUUGGAGCUUGAAUGUCCUGAACCAUAAAAUAGAGACAGCAAACCUAGGAGAGCUACAGGUGCUGAGACAUGGAGGAAGGAGUGCCAGGAGAGGUUGGGCUGAAGACAAAGAACCUGGAGCCGGAGCAUGAGUGCAGGAUGACUGCAAGAGAAAAUGAGAUAAUGGAUAAGAAAGGAUUCUGGAACUGGAGAAAUUGGAUGCAGAUGAUGCUCAUUGGUUUUCUUCACCUGAUCGCUGCCCCCUUGAGGACUGAGAGCACCUCCUGGAGUCCCCAGGGGCAGAAACAUGGCCCUCCCCCCCACUCAUCUUUUCCAGCCCAGGGCUCUACCAGAAAAGGAACCUCUGUGGGGCACCAGGCUGGCUCAAUGUGAUCAAGAUGUGACUCUUGAUCUCGGGGUUGGGAGUUCCAGCCCCACGCUGGGUUACUAAAAAAUCAACUUUAAAAAAAAGAAAAAGGGAAAGAAUCUCUACCUCCCCCUGGCACCCUUGUCUGUCCCUAAGCCCCUGGGCACCCAGGACGCCAGGAAGAUGCUCCUGAUGGAGAAGUGAGAAAAGUCUCCACUCCCCAGCCGCUUCUUCCAGCCCACACCCUCGUGGGCUUGUUGCUUAGAGUCUAAUUAGCUCCCUUGUUGAUCCAGUUUUAAACCUCUAUUGGGGGGCAGCCCCGGUGGCACAGCAGUUUGGCGCCGCCUGCAGCCUGGGGUGUGAUCCUGGAGACCUGGGAUGGGGUCCCGCGUCGGGCUUCCUGCGUGGAGCCUGCUUCUCCCUCUGCCUGUGUCUCUGCCUCUCUCUGUGUCUAUGAAUAAAUAAAUAAAAUAUUUUAAAAAAUAAAAAAUAAAUAAACCUCUACUGGGUUCAGUCUGGGCUUCUUAGAGAAUUGAUAGUCCUGCCCUUGUGGGCUUGCCCUAAAAACUCUUGUCUGACAGAGUAGGCAAAAUACACAUAAUAAGGAAAGUUAACACUUAAUGAGCACGGGCCAUAUGCUGGAUGGAUACAGUCCUAAGUGCUUCACUCGUGUACUUCACAACAAUCUCAUGAGGACUAUCCCUGGACUUCCCACUAUGCCUGCAUUGAGUAGGGGGGCUCAACCACCCUCCAUGUCUGCUGAUGCCUGGACCCCAAGUAGAGUAUCCUCCAUAGUGGCUCCAGGUGUGGGCUGAGAAAUGGCACAUCAAUAUAGCUGCCUCCUUGUGCACCAGGGCCCCAUACUUGGAGAGAACAGAUCAGGAGAGAUAGGAUCUCCUUAGAGACCCCACAGUGCAAAGGGAAGUCUGGCUCAGAGGCUAGAGCUGGAUCCUUCCAUCAGGACAUGUGGCACCAGAAAUGAACACCCAGACAGAGGAUGCAGAGAGGAGAGGAGAGCCCAUCUGCAGUUGGGCUGGCUGGGAUCCAGUUUCAUAUCUCCAGUCCAACCAGCUCUGCUACUUGCCAGCUUUGUGGUCACUUCCCCUUCCUUGGCUUCAAUUUUACUAUCUGUAAAUGGGGGGGGGGGGGGGGGACUCAUUGAAUUGUGAACCCCCUUCCAGCUUGGGCAGUCUGGGAAUCUAGAACCUUUGAAAGUUUUCUGCAUGGUCCUAAACCCAUGCCAGCAUGGCUCCCAACACUCCAGAGUUUGCACUGUUUCUAAGCCAAUUGGCACCCAUGGAAUCUCUUUCUCAUUGGCCAAAGCCUGUGUAGGAGACAAGCCAAGUGAAUGAUGUUAGGUCCUCUGAGAGUUCUGUCACUGCCUAGAAAGGUGACAAGGUUCACUCAAGGCCAUACAGCUAGUUAACUAAUAGAGCCAAGACUUUAGCUAAAUAUAUUUACUACCUGCUACAGACUUAUGCCCUGAGCCAUGCUGCCUCUGCUGCCAGAGCAUUACCAGUGAGCAAUGAGCUAAGGGCUCAAGGAAGGUGGGGGUGGGAGAAGGAAGUACACCCUGGGAGAAUCUAUGCAGAUGACACUUGCAAAAGUACAGAUGCAGAGGGGAGUCUGGGAGGAGAGUGACAAAUGUUAGGAAGGGGAAAUUAUUUGCCCUGCCUCCCCUAACAGUUGUUGAGUCCAAGAGCAGGGUACCUGCUUGCCAGGAUACCUCUUGGCCUGAUAGAUAAAAAGCCCAGAAUCAGAGUAGACCCCAUGUUCUUCACCCACAUUCCCUGGAGGACCUCUAGGGCCUGUCUCCUACUCCCCCAACCCUGGAGAACAGAGUACUACUUACCUUUAGAAAAUUCCAAAGAUAGGACGCCUGGGUGGCUCAGCAGUUGAGUGUCUGCCUUUGGCUCAGGGAGUGAUCCCAGAGUUCCGGGAUCGAGUCCCACGUCAGGCUUCCU
This is a long non-coding RNA of Canis lupus familiaris (dog), 5842 nucleotides long. RefSeq lists it as uncharacterized. The transcript has 4 exons. NCBI's taxonomy places the organism in Eukaryota, Metazoa, Chordata, Mammalia, Carnivora, Canidae. The record is from RefSeq and is a predicted model, not a curated record.